GUGAGGAAUCUUCCACAAUGGGCGAAAGCCUGAUGGAGCAACGCCGCGUGAAGGAUGAAGGUCUUCGGAUUGUAAACUUCUUUUAUGAGUGAAGAAUAUGACGGUAACUCAUGAAUAAGCACCGGCUAACUACGUGCCAGCAGCCGCGGUCAUACGUAGGGUGCAAGCAUUAUCCGGAGUGACUGGGCGUAAAGAGUUGCGUAGGCGGUUAUGUAAGCGAAUAGUGAAACCUGGUGGCUCAACCACACAGACUAUUAUUCGAACUGCAUAACUCGAGAAUGGUAGAGGUAACUGGAAGUUCUUGUGUAGGAGUGAAAUCCGUAGAUAUAAGAAGGAACACCAAUGGCGUAGGCAGGUUACUGGGCCAUUUCUGACGCUAAGGCACGAAAGCGUGGGGAGCGAACCGGAUUAGAUACCCGGGUAGUCC
RNAcentral lists this ribosomal RNA (427 nucleotides) under uncultured bacterium. RNAcentral describes it as "partial 16S ribosomal RNA". It matches the Rfam family "Bacterial small subunit ribosomal RNA", at positions 354 to 796 of the family's 1533-position model. The record is from RNAcentral.